UUUUUUUUUCUGGAUAGAGAUUGUUCUCCCCUUGAGCUGUUGCUGGAAGGGGUCAUUGGAAGGGAAACAACAACCCUGAUGGAAACUAAUGACUGUAUCUUUUCCAUUUCCCAUGAAAGUAAGAAAUGGCUGCUGUCCAGUCAACUUUGGGAGGAAAACUGCAACGUUUUGAAGAAGAAAAAUAAAAGGUGAUAUAGAGAUGAAGUAGCGAGAGGAAGCUGGUAAUAAAGUUCAGCUCCUCUGCUCCCAAACAUGGAAUGGAUUAUUCUGGAGAAAAUUAAUGAAAAUGUUGGAUGGAGGGGAAUUUGAAGCAGAUGCAUAUCUUUCCCUGCUCAAAGACCUAAAGGUCCUUCAAAACUCAAAUUGUUUUUAACCAAAAGAAUUCAUAGCAGAAUUGAGUAAGAGUGUUGUCUUCAAUUUUUUUUUUUCCCAUGCGAAUAAUAAGCAACAGCUGGGACUGUUUUGAUACCACCCUGUGGUAUCACUUAGUCUUCUUUUUUUAAUAAUGAAGCCACCUCUGCUCAUCAUGUUUGGUAGGAGAAGCACUCAGCCCUUUGUGAUGGAGAAGUUUGGAAAGCACAGCUCACCUUUGUCAGGGAUGAAAACGGGUUAGCACAAGAGCAAGCUGCCCCCACUUGGCACUGAGCUGCCAGGGCACUGCCUUCACUGAUGGUUAGGGCAUGGAAGGAUUUGUGCAAUACAGCAAUGCCGUCUGUGUGUGUAAAAGCUGGGAUCUCAAUAGAAUUGUCAAAAAUUGAUGAUGUGUCCUCAAACAUGAGGAGCUUUUCCUCUUUAUAGUCAAGGAUACAAAUACCCUAACAAAAGCAAUUGAGAAUAGCUCAGAUAAAUUUAUUUGUCUUACACAGACCCCCUAAUGUUUGAUGUGAGAAGCACUAAGUAGUUAAACACCUCAGUGCUCUCACCUCAGGCUUUGGGACUAACCAUAGCUCAAUCAAGCAUACGGUAGGAAACCAUGAUGCAGAUGUUGUAUUGCUGCUGCAAAUUUAAUGUUUAAUGAUAUUCAGUGGGUAUAUGAUAGUCUUGCUUGGUUAUAUCAUAAUAAAUUACAAGUAACAUUACAAAAUUGCUUCUGCCUUCUGAAUUACUGAGAGAAAUUGGUUAGUAAAUUGCUGAGUACCGUACUUCUAGCUAAUUAUCAUUAAGUGUGUAUGCAUAUGUAUGCACAUACACACACAAGGCCUUUUUAUCAGAACUCAAUAUGAAACCAUCUGAGGAAAACCUGCUAGCUUCCUAUAUGGCGUAGUACAGAGUGACUCAACUGAAUGCACUACAAAAUAGUGAAGGUAGCUAUGCCUAUCAGGAAUGCUUUGUUGUAUGUAGUAUGCCUUUGGUUCUGUUUCCUAGUGGGAAUCUCACUUUAUAAAAUGAACUUUGGAUGUCUUUAAUGAAGUUCACUG
RNAcentral lists this long non-coding RNA (1418 nucleotides) under Gallus gallus (chicken). RNAcentral's name for it is "lncRNA (ENSGALG00010012537.1)". Lineage: Eukaryota; Metazoa; Chordata; Aves; Galliformes; Phasianidae. The record is from RNAcentral.